GNNGCCGUACAUGCAAGUCGAGCGGAAACGACANUANNNAUCCUUCGGAUGNNUUAAUGGGCGUCGAGCGGCGGACGGGUGAGUAAUGCCUAGGAAAUUGCCUUGAUGUGGGGGAUAACCAUUGGAAACGAUGGCUAAUACCGCAUAAUGCCUACGGGCCAAAGAGGGGGANCUUCGGACCUCUCGCGUCAAGAUAUGCCUAGGUGGGAUUAGCUAGUUGGUGAGGUAAUGGCUCACCAAGGCGACGAUCCCUAGCUGGUCUGAGAGGAUGAUCANCCACACUGGAACUGANACACNGUCCANACUCCUACGGGAGGCAGCANUGGGGAAUAUUGCACAAUGGGCNAAAGCCUGAUGCAGCCAUGC
Molecule: ribosomal RNA, 366 nt
Filed under: Vibrio sp.
Lineage: Bacteria; Pseudomonadati; Pseudomonadota; Gammaproteobacteria; Vibrionales; Vibrionaceae
Description: partial 16S ribosomal RNA
Rfam family: Bacterial small subunit ribosomal RNA
Source: RNAcentral